This 1097-nucleotide ribosomal RNA is filed under the name uncultured organism. RNAcentral's name for it is "bacterial SSU rRNA". It matches the Rfam family "Bacterial small subunit ribosomal RNA", at positions 109 to 1202 of the family's 1533-position model. The record is from RNAcentral.
AGUAACGCGUAGGAAUCUACCCGGUAGUGGGGGACAACUCGGGGAAACUCGAGCUAAUACCGCAUACGCCCUGAGGGGGAAAGCGGGGGACCUUAUGGGCCUCGCGCUAUCGGAUGAGCCUGCGUUGGAUUAGCUGGUUGGUGGGGUAAAGGCCUACCAAGGCGACGAUCCAUAGCUGGUCUGAGAGGAUGAUCAGCCACACCGGGACUGAGACACGGCCCGGACUCCUACGGGAGGCAGCAGUGGGGAAUAUUGCGCAAUGGGCGAAAGCCUGACGCAGCCAUGCCGCGUGUGUGAAGAAGGCCUUCGGGUUGUAAAGCACUUUCACUUGGGAGGAAACGUUCACGGUUAAUACCCGUGAGCCUUGACGUUACCUUGAGAAGAAGCACCGGCUAACUCCGUGCCAGCAGCCGCGGUAAUACGGAGGGUGCGAGCGUUAAUCGGAAUUACUGGGCGUAAAGCGCGCGUAGGCGGUUUGUUAAGUCGGAUGUGAAAGCCCCGGGCUCAACCUGGGAAUUGCAUCCGAUACUGGCCGACUGGAGUGCGAGAGAGGGAGGUAGAAUUCCACGUGUAGCGGUGAAAUGCGUAGAUAUGUGGAGGAAUACCAGUGGCGAAGGCGGCCUCCUGGCUCGACACUGACGCUGAGGUGCGAAAGCGUGGGUAGCAAACAGGAUUAGAUACCCUGGUAGUCCACGCCGUAAACGAUGUCGACUAGCCGUUGGGGAACUUGAGUCCUUGGUGGCGCAGUUAACGCGCUAAGUCGACCGCCUGGGGAGUACGGCCGCAAGGUUAAAACUCAAAUGAAUUGACGGGGGCCCGCACAAGCGGUGGAGCAUGUGGUUUAAUUCGAUGCAACGCGAAGAACCUUACCAGGCCUUGACAUCCCCGGAAUCCUGCAGAGAUGCGGGAGUGCCUUCGGGAAUCGGGUGACAGGUGCUGCAUGGCUGUCGUCAGCUCGUGUCGUGAGAUGUUGGGUUAAGUCCCGUAAGGAGCGCAACCCUUGUCAUUAGUUGCCAGCACUUUGGGUGGGAACUUUAAGGAGACUUCCGUUGACAAACCGGAGGAAGGUGGGGAAGAUAUCAAGUCAUCAUGUCCCU